Molecule: ribosomal RNA, 1212 nt
Filed under: Triticum aestivum (bread wheat)
Lineage: Eukaryota; Viridiplantae; Streptophyta; Magnoliopsida; Poales; Poaceae
Description: partial small subunit ribosomal RNA
Source: RNAcentral
AUGAUUUCCGUAGAAAGAGCACAACAACCACAGAUCGUGAUGCCAGUCGCCCACUUGCCAAAACAAAAAAGUAUUGAAUUAAGCAAACCUUCACUUACCCAGAAGAAUGGAAAUUCCAGUUGGAGGAGCAAGGUGAACUCACCUCCAGUUGAAGCAGCAUUUGAACAGUUCACAAGGCAUCUUGUCACCGAGUGGGUAACAAAUCUUUGGUACUCCCGUAUAACACCUGAUAAGGACGGACCGGAGGAACUCAUCAGCAUAGUUAAUUCUGUCCUUGGAGAGAUUUCUAACUGGGGAAGAAGCAUUAACAUCAUCACUCUGUUAACCAGUAAGCUGCUUAGCUGCAAAGUAUCCAAGAUAAGUUUUGCUCCUCUUGAUGAUUGGAAGUUAGCAUUGCUCCUGUUAGAGCAACAGUAUACCAAAACAAGAUCCAACCGAGCUAAGGAUCUUGGCUUUGCAUCUAGGCUCUCUCUUGCUUUCCCAACAACUUCAGAAGAGAUUUCUGGAUCAGGUAUGGUGUAUUCAGUUAGCAUUAUGUCUAUGAGUGUAUCAGGUCUAGAGCCAAUGGAGAGAAGCAACAUCAUGAUGCUGCUAUAUCUUAGUGGUCUUUCUUUCACAAUGGUGAUCUGCUUCUUAUCUGUUCUAGAUGCAGAGCCUUUGGUAUAUGCAGCCGCACUCCCUUGCCGCCACCUGCUACUUCAAGUCCGCCGACGGCCACGUUGGAAACUAGGGCUUCUCCAUAGCCCGCCUCAAUUCUACCUCGCCCUCCUUGCUGUUUGGAUCGAGUGUGAAUGCGUGCUAUGUGACGCGUUGAGAGAAUAUGAUGGGAGGAGGAGACACAACACUCCACUCCACUUCCUAUUCUUGCCAUCACGUUGUUGCCACACUUGGGCUGGUUCUAUUGCGCAUGCUUCUUGCUAUUUGGAAUGCAUCGUUCUUAUUAUUUUUAGGAACAUAUUUUUGCAGGCCAGGAGGAAGCUUGAGAACUUGCUGCCCGAUCUCGCCAGGGCGAUGAGAUGGAGGCCUGCUCACUGCUGCUCCACUGUUCGCUACACUUUCAGGGCCUCAGGGAGCACCUCCUUACUGACGACCUCUUCCUCAACAAGCUCGUCGUGGAUAAAUAAAGAAAAAGACAGCAGAAUGGGCGCUUCCAACCUGGCACCGCACAUGCACUGUUCAAGAGGCGCGCCACGGGCGCGCCCCAUCCACUAG